UACGAAGGUGGCGACUGUUGUUCGGAUUCACUGGGCGUAAAGCGUCGGUAGGUGGUGUUUUAAGUUAGAGGUGAAAGCCCCGCGCUCAACGUGGGAAUUGCCUUUAAAACUGGAGCACUUGAGAGUAUCAGAGGAUGGCGGAAUAUCUGGUGUAGAGGUAAAAUUCAUAGAUAUCAGAUGGAACACCCAUGGCGAAGGCAGCUAUCUGGGAUAUUUCUGACACUGAGCGACGACAGCGUGGGGAGCAAACAGG
RNAcentral lists this ribosomal RNA (253 nucleotides) under uncultured bacterium. RNAcentral's name for it is "partial 16S ribosomal RNA". It matches the Rfam family "Bacterial small subunit ribosomal RNA", at positions 524 to 776 of the family's 1533-position model. The record is from RNAcentral.